RNAcentral lists this ribosomal RNA (354 nucleotides) under Amanita sp. 'WA03'. RNAcentral describes it as "Amanita sp. 'sp-WA03' partial 28S ribosomal RNA". It matches the Rfam family "Eukaryotic large subunit ribosomal RNA", at positions 1 to 333 of the family's 3401-position model. Lineage: Eukaryota; Fungi; Basidiomycota; Agaricomycetes; Agaricales; Amanitaceae. The record is from RNAcentral.
UUUGACCUCAAAUCAGGUAGGACUACCCGCUGAACUUAAGCAUAUCAAUAAGCGGAGGAAAAGAAACUAACAAGGAUUCCCCUAGUAACUGCGAGUGAAGCGGGAAAAGCUCAAAUUUAAAAUCUGGCAGUCUUUUUUUUCUUCUUUGGCUGUCCGAGUUGUAAUCUAGAGAAGUGCUUACCUGCACUGGACCAUGUAUAAGUCUCCUGGAAUGGAGCGUCACAGAGGGUGAGAAUCCCGUCUUUGACAUGGACCGCCAGUGUGUUGUGGUGUGCUCUCAAAGAGUCGAGUUGUUUGGGAAUGCAGCUCUAAAUGGGUGGUAAACUCCAUCUAAAGCUAAAUAUUGGCGAGAGA